RNAcentral lists this ribosomal RNA (117 nucleotides) under Lepisosteus oculatus (spotted gar). The record is from RNAcentral. Lineage: Eukaryota; Metazoa; Chordata; Actinopteri; Semionotiformes; Lepisosteidae.
GCCAGCAGCUAUAUCACCCUGCAGCUCUCAACUGGCUACCCAUUGAAGUUAAGCAUGUGUGAGCCUUGUCAGUACCUGGAUGGGAGACCUCUUGGGAAGCUAUGGUUGCUGCUGGAA